Molecule: long non-coding RNA, 766 nt
Organism: Pieris napi
Lineage: Eukaryota; Metazoa; Arthropoda; Insecta; Lepidoptera; Pieridae
Exons: 2
Source: RefSeq, a predicted model, not a curated record
ACAAUUAACUCUUUUUAUAAAAUAAUAGUUAUUCCGUGAGUCCACUACGCAGUAACAGCGCUCCCUUCGUCACUGACGUAAUUUUUGGAAUCUCAUGGUAUUCUGUUAAUAAAUUUUACAUUACGUCUUAAUAAGUGGAGGGAGGUAACCUAGUGAGUUGUUGUCUAUUAAUAUCGUGACAAUUGACUCAUUUUAUUUUAUAAAAAGAGUUAAUUGUCAAAAUUUUCAUCAUACAUAAACAAAAUAUUUUUAAUAAAACAAAAAGGUCGACGUUUGAAUUAAAAAAAAUAUUAAAAAAAAAGAUAAACCGUGAAAAUAUCUCAAAAAUGAUUUAUCUGAUGGAAAAUAAUAGAAUAGCGAGGAAAAUUAUUAAAACCCAUCUGGCAAUGGGGCCGCUUAAAGGUAAGUAGUGAGUUUAUUUAUUAGUCAAUCGUAAGUUACGUAUUUUGUUUAUAACUUCCAAUUAAGAGUUUAUAUUUCGUAUUUACCCGACAACUGACCAGCCGUGGUGUAUAUGAGCGACAGAAACUUAAAAAUAUUAAUUAUGUUUCAGCACGAAACAAGGGAUACCUAACAUCUGGAUAUAUUGUAAAAAAAUUAAGAAUAUUAUCUUAACAAAAAGAUAAAAGAUGAUGUCACGCUAAAAGUGAUUCUCUCAGCAAAUGGGCUACGGAUUCAAAGUAAACAGGAUGGAUAGGUGUUUUAAAUUUUCAAAAUGUUACUAAAGGUAACCAAGCCAUCAGUGGUAGUUGUCAAGAAUGAGGAA